GUCCUGCUGCUUAGGGAGCGCGAUGGUUCAGUGCCGAGCUCCGCUUCUCGAUGCGCACGGAGAACCGGAUCAGCACGGAGCGCUGGAAAGCGGCGCUGCAAUGCCGGCUGCAGCGUGCUCGGGAGCCGGGGACCUGCGGGGACUCCUGCUGCGGAAAGUGCCGUGGGAUUUUACCUCCGCAGGUUUCCAUGAUUGGAUAUUGUGGGAGCAGCUGAUGUUGCAUGCGGAUAGUUCAAUAUAUAAAGUGGAUUUGCCGCUCGUCUUGGAGAGUCUUUACACCUAUGUUUAUUUUUGGGGUGACAACUUUGUGGAUGAAAUCUGAAAUUUAAAUCAAAUCUGGAUGUAAAAACAUAUCACCGUUUCUCAUGUAAAAGUAAAGGGCAUAGUCCCGGACGGGAUGACACAUGGCUGCCUCAUAUCGAAGUAAAAACUUUGCGCUCCGCAUGUGAUGUGCGUUUCAAAGUCAGCCCUGUCCGGGGUGCAGUUGUUCGUCUGAAAGCGGAUACUUCGGAUACCCACACGGGAUACCCACGCUAUGGAUUAUACAAACACCCUAAUAUCACCUAAUGUCAAAGACGCAGGAAUAACGAUGUGCAUCAUUCGAAGAGGAGGCUGGUGACUGGUGCGCUCGCUGGCCCCCGCGGUCGCCAUGGAGAGGUCGCUGUGGAAACGCAGAGGACCGUGACCCUUAACUUACAGGCUGAGACCAGCGUGGAACCAUCACCUCUCACCUGUGCGGCCAUCGUCCACCUGCUGCAUGUCUGCAUCACACUGAGCCGCGCUGCUGAUAACCUGACAGUGACGAAUCCAGAGCCUUAAAUCCCCUGUCACAUGACGAGGGAGGCGGCGCAUGGGAUCUGCCCCUGCUCCACAUCCACAAGAGCGCCCCCUGGGAGGCGAAGGUGUCACUGCAGCCAGAGAGAAGGACAAAGAUGUUGGGUGGAGACGCCCUGACCACGUCCUGAGGGCGACCCAACGGGAACCUGGGGGCGACCCAACGGGAACCUGGGGGUGACCCAACGGGAACCUGGGGGCGACCCAACGGGAACCUGGCAUCAGAACAGAUUUACCCCCCAGGUGACCCUUCACCUAGAAACAUUACGGAAGGAAUGUGGCGUGAAGCCAACCAACUGGAUCAGAACCAUUCUCCAUUAUUGAUAUUCCUUCUGCACGCUUCUACCGAACGGAGCAUUCAUUUUUUCUUUGUGGGUUCGGGGGGGCUCCCAUCCCAUCUUUAUUUAGCUUGUCUGAAAUGUUGAGCCUGGUGCCGCAUGGAUCUGUUUCCGUAGAUGCCAUGUUCAGAUGUGUGGUCCAUAAGGACUGCCCCCACCCGCCUCUGGGCCGGCUGUGCUGUCCAAGGCGGCGGGGGGGCCGACCUGGUGGUGUCGUCACCCUGUGGGCAGCGUGACUCACUGCCUGUGGCGUGCAUCCAGAGCGCAGUGAGCGGGCAGCCCACCUGCUCUCUGUUUGUUGGCUUUGCUGCGUCUCUCUGGGGACCAAGGUGGUCUCGGCCUGGGGGGCCGGCGCCUCCAGGAAGAGGUGAUCUCACUAAGGUGCUGACCCCCCCUUCCCUCUUCAGGAAUCCCAUGGCAAUAGCACCUACAGAGGGACGAGACGCAGACGGAUUGUGGGACGACGUCACAUCCUGUGUGCUUAGCCUAGCUAACAUUCACAGUGUUCACAGCGUUUCAGCCCCUCGGAAGCUUAACCUAAUACUAAUCACGAAAACCGACUCACCGUCUCUUGCCAUUGACAUCAGCUAACUCAACCGUAUCCCAGAAUCCUCCAGGGCUGGGCCUGGCACUGCCAUGUGGACAAAUGGUAUGGUUUUUUCUUUUCUGGCUGUGCUAUUGUAAAUCUGUGGCGUGGUCGUUGGCGCCAGGGUCCGGGGGCCGCGCCCAGGUGCCGCUCCGCACGCCACUAUGGAUGUCAGGCAAGGAUGACUUCACCUGGACCUUCCGACGGGCUGCAUGCACGCACCCGACAAAUGGACCGCACCUCCACGACAAAUGGACCGGGGGUAACAUCUGUCCCGGGUCCCGCCUCCGUCCUGUGGCGGGUGGGCCAGGCAGCACCGCCUGUCAGUUGCCCAGGAAGGUCACUGGCGCAAUAAAACACCGACAUUAAACACA
Molecule: long non-coding RNA, 2132 nt
Organism: Paramormyrops kingsleyae
Lineage: Eukaryota; Metazoa; Chordata; Actinopteri; Osteoglossiformes; Mormyridae
Source: RefSeq, a predicted model, not a curated record